This 283-nucleotide unclassified non-coding RNA is filed under the name Hevea brasiliensis (rubber tree). Lineage: Eukaryota; Viridiplantae; Streptophyta; Magnoliopsida; Malpighiales; Euphorbiaceae. The record is from RNAcentral.
GCUUGCCAAGCUGGAGAGACCUAAUGAAGAUUCCAGUGCCAGCCUGCCAGGUACAUAGCAGCAUUAGUUUAUUUAGACAGUUAGGAUUAGGAUAUUCUUUUUGUUCUUUUUUUUUUCUUUUCUUUUUUCAACACACAAAUGAGAAAGAAAAAAAUGGUAAGUAACCUUUCCUUUUCUUUCUCAUCUUUGCAUCAUUUCAUCAUAUGGGGUUGUUUAUUAUUUGAGGGGCAAGGCUGUUUUACUUGUAUACUACAUGUAUCCAUUUGUAAAUUACAUAUAUAUG